RNAcentral lists this non-coding RNA (105 nucleotides) under chicken gut metagenome. RNAcentral's name for it is "SAM riboswitch (S box leader)". It matches the Rfam family "SAM riboswitch aptamer (S box leader)". Rfam says of the family: The SAM riboswitch is found upstream of a number of genes which code for proteins involved in methionine or cysteine biosynthesis in Gram-positive bacteria. The SAM riboswitch acts at the level of transcription termination control. The predicted structure consists of a complex stem-loop region followed by a single stem loop terminator region. The record is from RNAcentral.
CUUAUUGCGAGCGGCUGAGGGAGAGGCCCUGCGAAGCCCGGCAACCUGCUUGAUCAUACAAAACAGCAAGGUGCUAAAUCCUACGGCGGCUGCCGGAAGAUAAGG